This 116-nucleotide ribosomal RNA is filed under the name uncultured bacterium. RNAcentral's name for it is "partial 16S ribosomal RNA". It matches the Rfam family "Bacterial small subunit ribosomal RNA", at positions 1388 to 1501 of the family's 1533-position model. The record is from RNAcentral.
CACCGCCCGUCACACCAUGGGAGUUGGUUUCACCCGAAGGCAGUGCGCUAACCCGCAAGGGAGGCAGCUGACCACGGUGGGAUCAGCGACUGGGGUGAAGUCGUAACAAGGGUACC